AAAAGCCGUGCGCCCUCGUCGUCACAUCCUCUUUCCGUUGCUCUUCUCGCUUUGAGAAAGGUCUCCACACGAUGAGAGCCAAGUGGAGAAAGAAGCGCAUGCGCAGACUGAAGCGUAAAAGGAGAAAGAUGAGGCAGAGGUCAAAGUAAGCCCUCAUCCCUGCCAGCUGUGACCCCCAUCUGAGCUUCUCCACAUCUAUGGACACAUUCACCCAGGAAGUGGCUCUCUUGAAGCAUCUGCUGAAAUUGUGUCAAGUCCUGAUUUCUUUUCCAUCUGAAACUGGCAAGCUGUGGAUGCAUUAGUGGAAGAAGGCAAAGAUGCUGGAAGGAUAUCAGAUGUGCAGCUGCAUUGUUCAUGGACCAUGAUACUUGUUUACUUGCAAACUGUUAUGUGGUGUAUUGAACAAUAAAUGAACACUGUUAAAUUUCAAAAA
This is a long non-coding RNA of Cyprinodon variegatus (sheepshead minnow), 433 nucleotides long. RefSeq lists it as uncharacterized. The record is from RefSeq and is a predicted model, not a curated record. The transcript is spliced from 4 exons. NCBI's taxonomy places the organism in Eukaryota, Metazoa, Chordata, Actinopteri, Cyprinodontiformes, Cyprinodontidae.